This 465-nucleotide ribosomal RNA is filed under the name uncultured bacterium. RNAcentral describes it as "partial 16S ribosomal RNA". It matches the Rfam family "Bacterial small subunit ribosomal RNA", at positions 28 to 506 of the family's 1533-position model. The record is from RNAcentral.
GAUGAACGCUGGCGGCGUGCUUAACACAUGCAAGUCGAACGAUGAAGCCCAGCUUGCUGGGUGGAUUAGUGGCGAACGGGUGAGUAACACGUGAGUAACCUGCCCUUGACUCUGGGAUAAGCCUGGGAAACUGGGUCUAAUACUGGAUAUGACUUCUCAUCGCAUGGUGGGGUGUGGAAAGAUUUAUUGGUCUUGUAUGGACUCGCGGCCUAUCAGCUUGUUGUUGAGGUAAUGGCUCACCAAGGCGACGACGGGUAGCCGGCCUGAGAGGGUGACCGGCCACACUGGGAAGGAGACACGGCCAAGACUCCUACGGGAGGCAGCAGUGGGGAAUAUUGCACAAUGGGCGCAAGCCUGAUGCAGCGACGCCGCGUGAGGGAUGACGGCCUUCGGGUUGUAAACCUCUUUCAGUAGGGAAGAAGCGAGAGGGAAGGUACCGGCAGAAGAAGCGCAGGCUAAUUCAGG